Molecule: long non-coding RNA, 1460 nt
Organism: Dreissena polymorpha
Lineage: Eukaryota; Metazoa; Mollusca; Bivalvia; Myida; Dreissenidae
Exons: 3
Source: RefSeq, a predicted model, not a curated record
AAAAUAUUUUUCAAACUCCACAGCAUUGAUUAUCAAAACAGCAACGAUUUAAAGAACGGUGUAAAAAUCGCGUUAGCAGUUCUGGUGCGAGACACAGUCUAUGAGGGAAAAGGAAACGGCCCGCUUUUCUUAGAUUUCUUGUGCGGUGCAUUUAACUACCAACUUACAAAACACUUCGAGAAUAAUCGAGUCCGGGGUCAAGACGUGGGGACAAUUCCAGCUCUUACCGCUACAUUGACAUCCAUGGCACCGAGUGACAAAGAAGUGCAUCUGUUAUGGAUGGAGUCAAGAAACGAUACACCUGGUAUGUGUAGAAUUCUCCGAUUGAUAACAGACAAAUACACGAACGACGAUAAGGGCCCAUGUGUUACUUAAGACAGUAUAUGGGAUACUCUUAUAUACAUAAGUUACAAAUUACAUUUAUUAUAAUGUUAGCUUUCUAAUGAUAAUCAUGCUCUCCAAAUGUAGGGUUUAUAAUGUAUGUGUGUGCGUGUUUUCAAAUACAUAUAAUCUAUUUUGACAUACCAGAAUUAUAGUGUUUUGGAAGACCGAUCAUACGCAGUACAUAUUUGAUAUAUAUUCUGAUUGGUCGAAAUAGAAAUAGUUAACGAAAAGAAAGGAACAGUAGUGAACAUGACUGUGUAAAUACGAGCAGUAAAAAGAUACAAAAACAAAGAGGCCCGUCCAGUGAGAAUCAGAUUUCGGACUUUUCUUCCUCUGUUAGUGACUUACUUGGAUAUACAAACUCUGUGUUAUACGGCGAGGAAGACGUUGAAGUAACGCAUACUAGUGUUUUUGGAAACAACCAGGAAGCAUACGAUCCACCGAAGGUUAACACCAUGGCGGCAGCGCAGCCAACAUAACAUGACGUUGAAGUUUGCUCGAAGGCAUAAGUUGACGACGCACUGUAGUCGAACACAAACUACAAUGUCUUGAUAAGAUGGACCACCGCAUGGCUCUUGACGAUAGAGUCAAAACGGUUGCAGAGCACGUUUUCAAGCUCGACCAUAUCUCCGAGAGGCGGAUAUUGCAGCCGCACAGGUUAGAAGUAGGUUAGAUGAUCUUGAGCGUGAGCGUAAUAGUCUUCGUGACGAUUUGACGUACAUGAACGCUCAAAGCCUGAGAAAUAACCUUGAAUUUACUGGUGUACCGGAAACAGAGAACGAAACACAUGAGACAACCGACAAGAUUCUGAGAAAACAUUUGAGCGAUGCCCUCAAAAUUGUUCAGGAAACUGCGGACACUAUCAGGUUUUAGAGGGUCCAUCGAUCGCCUGCGGAACACACACGUGGAAAGGUUAUUUCUACAAAUUCGCGUUUUGCGAUUAUAAUAUAGUGACCAACUCAGAACGGGUUUAAAAGAAGGUCGUCCAAAAUGUGUCACAUCAAAGUUACAUACAUGUAUCAGUAUCGUUAUGGUAAAACGUGUCAAAUGUCAUUGUAUUAAAUAAACAAUUCAUA